This 484-nucleotide ribosomal RNA is filed under the name uncultured bacterium. RNAcentral's name for it is "partial 16S ribosomal RNA". It matches the Rfam family "Bacterial small subunit ribosomal RNA", at positions 29 to 507 of the family's 1533-position model. The record is from RNAcentral.
AUUGAACGCUAGCGGGAUGCUCUACACAUGCAAGUCGAACGGCAGCGCGGACUUCGGUCUGGCGGCGAGUGGCGAACGGGUGAGUAAUGUAUCGGAACGUGCCCAGUAGCGGGGGAUAACUACGCGAAAGCGUAGCUAAUACCGCAUACGCCCUACGGGGGAAAGCAGGGGAUCGUAAGACCUUGCACUAUUGGAGCGGCCGAUAGCGGAUUAGCUAGUUGGUGAGGUAACGGCUCACCAAGGCGACGAUCCGUAGCUGGUGUGAGAGGACGACCAGCCACACUGGGACUGAGACACGGCCCAGACUCCUACGGGAGGCAGCAGUGGGGAAUUUUGGACAAUGGGGGCAACCCUGAUCCAGCCAUCCCGCGUGUGCGAUGAAGGCCUUCGGGUUGUAAAGCACUUUUGGCAGGAAAGAAACGUCGCGGGCUAAUACCCCGUGGAACUGACGGUACCUGCAGAAUAAGCACCGGCUAACUACGUG